GGAGAGGUGGCCGAGUGGUUUAAGGCGCACGCCUGGAACGCGUGUAUAGUAGCAAUACUAUCGAGGGUUCGAAUCCCUCUCUCUCCGCCA
This 90-nucleotide transfer RNA is filed under the name Hyphomicrobiales bacterium. Its description in RNAcentral is "Rhizobiales bacterium tRNA-Ser". It matches the Rfam family "tRNA". From Rfam's summary of the family: Transfer RNA (tRNA) molecules are approximately 80 nucleotides in length. Their secondary structure includes four short double-helical elements and three loops (D, anti-codon, and T loops). Further hydrogen bonds mediate the characteristic L-shaped molecular structure. tRNAs have two regions of fundamental functional importance: the anti-codon, which is responsible for specific mRNA codon recognition, and the 3' end, to which the tRNAs corresponding amino acid is attached (by aminoacyl-tRNA synthetases). tRNAs cope with the degeneracy of the genetic code in two manners: having more than one tRNA (with a specific anti-codon) for a particular amino acid; and 'wobble' base-pairing, i.e. permitting non-standard base-pairing at the 3rd anti-codon position. Lineage: Bacteria; Pseudomonadati; Pseudomonadota; Alphaproteobacteria; Hyphomicrobiales. RNAcentral also lists the same sequence under 5 other names. The record is from RNAcentral.